This 2402-nucleotide long non-coding RNA is filed under the name Coffea arabica (coffee). Its description in RNAcentral is "long non-coding RNA (CARA_LNC000026)". The record is from RNAcentral. Lineage: Eukaryota; Viridiplantae; Streptophyta; Magnoliopsida; Gentianales; Rubiaceae.
UCCAAAGUCGUAUAGCCAUAGUGACGUCAGAGCGGUCAAGCAUUGGAUCUGAGGUGGCAGGGACUCCAUGUGUGGCAACCCACAUAAGUCUAAUCCACGGGGUGCGGAUGACGAAGAGGAGGAUAUCAAUCCAGACCAAUCAAACUCAUUGUAAAUUGAAGAAUUUUCAUGAUCAUCACCAUCUUCUGAGAAGGGACCAAUGCUAAGCUCCCUUAAGCUGGUUAGGAAACCAAAUCCUUUGGGCGUCAUGCUUGUUUUCAGUUUGGGACACCUGUAUAAUUCCAGCUCCAAGAGAGAAGGCGUUUGUUGCAAAUUGAGCGGAAAGGAGAUAAGAUUGUCGCAAUAAGCCACCCGAAGCUUCUGGAGAGAGGUACAAGAGUGUAGCAUGUCACCUGGCAGAUUCGUCAACCCAUCGAAACGAGCAAUCACUAGCUCUUUAAGAGACGCAAAGUUUUGCAGGGGAAGGAGUUCUCUGCAUCUGUCGCAGCUAUAAAAUCGCAAACGCGCUAACUCGGGGAGUGUUAUUGCUGACUCGGGGAGUGUUGUUGUUGUUGUUGGCAAAUCCAUUAACCAUCGAGGAAAUUGAUCGCCCAUAAAAUUGCAAAUUGCCAACUCCUCCAAAUUUGGGUGGGCUUGAAGGCCAUCUAACACAUCUUCGUCGUUGUAGUCGUCGCCUUCUCGAUCAUCUGCCCACUCAAGUACCAACUCAAAUAGAUUUGCCUUUUCAGAUAGUUUUGCUUCCUCAGCUCCUUCCUUAUCCUUUACUAGUUCCAGAUUGCAUAUCCUCAAACUGCCUUUGAGGUUCUUCAAGCUUCCAAGCUCUCCAAUUCGUCGACCCUUCUCUCGACCCACGUUAAAGAACUCUAGUGUCUGAAGGCAAGUCAGCCGUCCCAUCUCUAGCGGCAUUUGAAAUUUUUUAUCAAAGGUGUGAAAGUGGAGAUGUCUCAAGCUAAUCAAAUCGCACAUCCCCUUCGGAAGAACUUUAAGAAAGUGACUUAGCCUCAGUGUCUGCAAAUUAUAAAGUUUGCAAACAGAUUCCGGCAACGUUUGACUUCUAGAACGCUCAAAGUUGAUGUACCUCAAGUGUCUCAGUUUGCCAAUUGAGAUUGGCAGAUUCUGAUUUUCUUCACCGGACAAAUUCAGAACGUGCAGAUUCUUCAACCUCAUUAGCAUAUCAUCAGAUAAGCUACCCUGACUCAGAAACAAUGUAUGAAGCAAAUUUGAUGGACUCUCAAAAAGAUUUUUUGUGCCUUCUCCAAAUGAGUCUAUUACAAGACAACGAACCUGAUUACUAUUGUCUUCUGAACCAGUCUCCGAAUUAAUGACUUUAGCAGACUUUGACAUUAUUGAUGUUGCGACGUCGUGCACCAUAUCAUGCAUUUUAUAAUACCUUCUCCCAUAUUUUCCUAUUUCUUCCAGCAAAGAACUCUGCAAUAAAAUUUCCAAGUAAUACUCUCCAAUUUCCUCCAUUGUUUUGUUCUCGAGACCUGCAUGGAGGAAACCUUCUGCCAUCCAAAGUUCGAUCAGCAUAUCCCGUUCCAUCUCAGUAUCCUUGGGAAAAAUAGAACAAUAUGCAAAACAUUUCUUAAUGGGUGCUUGGGUCAUUCUAAUUGAUAGUUUCAAGAGUAUUACUAUUAUGUUGUAAGGAGUAAAUGAAGAGCACCAAUAUUUUGGACCUAAUAAGAAAUGCUUAUGCCGCAGCUUUGAAAGAUAAUAAAUAGGAUGAUAAAAAGGGAGAAGAGAGAAUUGUGAAGAAAAACCAUGGGACUUUUUAGGUUUUCUCACGAGAAGGUUAAUCAGAGGGGGAAGUGAAGAGAAGGGGAGAUUGAUUGAUUGUAAAGCAAAUUAAGAAAGAGGUUAUUGAAGGCAAUCUUACUUGAUUGAAUUUGAUCUGAAGAUGAAAGUUGGUUAUUAAUCAACGUAUGCGUAGGUCUUGAAUGUGAGAAACUUUGGACCACUGGGAGUCGGGGCCGCUGCUCUCAGGAGUGCAUCUUUCUUUUAACAGAGGAGAACCAAAAACCCACAGACGUUUUAGUUUGGUGAGACUUCUCAUGGCAUCCUCAGAGGGUAGAUGUCCAAGCUCUUUGAAACCAAAUAACCGCAGCUCUUCAAGAGCAGCGAAGUUUCCGAACCAAUCUGGCAGAGCUUUUAUACCUCCAAAGUCGUAUAGCCAUAGUGACGUCAGAGCGGUCAAGCAUUGGAUCUGAGGUGGCAGGGACUCCAUGUGUGGCAACCCACAUAAGUCUAAUCCACGGGGUGCGGAUGACGAAGAGGAGGAUAUCAAUCCAGACCAAUCAAACUCAUUGUAAAUUGAAGAAUUUUCAUGAUCAUCACCAUCUUCUGAGAAGGGACCAAUGCUAAGCUCCCUUAAGCUGGUUAGGAAACCAAAUCCUUUGGGCGUC